Dasypus novemcinctus (nine-banded armadillo) is the source of this 346-nucleotide unclassified non-coding RNA. The record is from Ensembl. Lineage: Eukaryota; Metazoa; Chordata; Mammalia; Cingulata; Dasypodidae.
AAACGGAGACAAAGAUUUAAGCUUUUCCUAGCCAUUCUUUCCCUUUUUGCUCUUCACACCGCAGUCGAGGAUCUUUCUAUGUGCAGUAUUAUUUUGUUUGUUUUAGCCUGGUAAUUUUAAAGAUACCUAGGAGGGUAGGAGAGCUGACCCAACAGAGAAGGGAAAAAUUCUCUUCUGACCAUAGUGACAUAAGGAGGUCAGUUCACACCAGAUACCUUUACAGCAUGUGUCUUUCUGUUUAAAAACAUCUUAGUACUUAAGGUAUUUUAAUAUAAGCCCAUAACUAGCUCUUUACCCUUUUUAUUUCAUUUCUCACUAUUCUCAUUUAUCUGUUUCUGUGCUCCUU